Molecule: long non-coding RNA, 3251 nt
Organism: Peromyscus californicus insignis
Lineage: Eukaryota; Metazoa; Chordata; Mammalia; Rodentia; Cricetidae
Exons: 4
Source: RefSeq, a predicted model, not a curated record
GCCGAUAUCUUGCGCGGUCCGAAAGCUUCAGCCACGUGGGAGCAAGGUAUAUAGGUUGGACGCGUUGCAGACUAGACGGACAGUUGGUUUCCAGGAAGGAGCAGUCCAGGUCUCUCGUCCCCGCUUGCGCUCCUCGGGGUUGUCCCGCCAGCGCCUGCAAGGGGUUCCCAGGCAACUGGUUCCAACAAGGCUGCGAGAAGCAGAGGAGCUGAUCCCGCUCCCCGCGGAAGAGAGCUAAGUGACCAAAGCGCGGGGACCUGCGCGGAGCUCCUAAGACUCACCCGGGUCUCCCUACUUCUCCCUUCGAUGCUGUACAACUACCCCAUCCUGUUCCCGUGGCUUGAACAUCCUGCUGACAAGAUUCUCCAACUCCAGCUCCGCGGGGGGCAAAGCAAGUGGGACGCGCCUCACAGUCCUGUGGUGGUGCCCCACUUAUGUUCCUAGCCAGGUCACAGUGUGUCUUGGCCCUGCUCUGGCCAGUUUGCUCAGGGACUUUUCCUCCUCAUUCCGUGAGCUCUGACCUUAGGGUCCAAAGUACCAAUAUUUUCCAUUCCGUCCUGAUUCUCCUCUACCACCUUUCUCAGGUACCAUGGUCACAAGUGCAUGUUUGUAGUGUGUGCCUCUUCCCACCCCACCUCAGCGCUCUAGCUUGGUUCCCGGAGGCUCGCCUGAACAUAUUUUUACAGAGAUCCGAGCUGUCUGAUUCCUUCCAGUCAGUCUGCUUCAGAAACCGAUUUCCCUUGGGGGGGGGAGGGGAGCUAUAAUAUAAUAUAGCCUGUGUGGUCAAUAUCCUGCUUCAGGGCCCGAAGGACAAGAAGCUGGAUCUCCUGCCCAGAUAUGUGAUAUGCGGACACCUAGGGCGGUCUAGGACACACUAGGGUUCUCGUGUCUCCCUCAGAGCAUCACCCACCAGGAUUUUCUCAGGGUCCCGGAACAGAGAGAGCGCGCUGGCCCAUCCAGAUCUCGGGUCUCCAGGCACCUCCCUUGGCCCCGCCUUGUAGGCGUGACAGUUGCCGAAGUCUCAAUGGGGGUUGGAACUUCCAGAUCAAAGCUGGAAUGGCUACCCACUACAAGCUUCCAUCCCCAAGACCAGAGGUUUCUACCUGGGACCACAGGACAUGUGCUACACCAAGAGAACAUCAGGAGUGGUGAGCAGUGAACUUUGAAACUCAGUUUUUCCGUCAGAAGACGUUUAGACUGGCUCUUGACCAAACUCAGCUCAUCCAAAGGUUGAGGCUGUUGGAAUUCAUCUUCCUGGGAGAAGAUAUAACCUCAGGUUUAUAGGUAUGACUCUUAGCACCAUGCUAGAAGAUGCACAGGAAUGGAACCGACAAUCUGCAAAGCUGGGGGCGGUGGUGGUGUGGGGUACAAGUGGAAGAUGCUGGCUACCCUCACCCUGGCUUCAUAUGGAAUCUGUAGGGCAGGCAGCUUUCUUAAAAAGACCUGGAGUGGCUCUGAUUCCUGUGAGAUGCUUGUUGCAGGUGAGUUCCAACUUCCGCAUGGCAGAACUGGACAAUGGGAGCGGCAGAGACAGAUCCUGUCUGACAAGCGCAGGGCCCCAACAUUUCAGCAUGUCGUUUGCCUGGUUGCUGUCCUGCACGUGUGUGGCUAGUUUGUGCUUGGAGCUACAGUAUUUCCUGUGACCUUGAGCAAAAUGAUUAUAGGUGGCAACUUCCCAAACCAGCUCUGCAUGGAGAGCAUGCAGCUCAUGUCUUGGUUUGAAUCUUUAAAAAAUUGUAAGCAAACCAGACAUGGUGGUGUAUGCCUUUAAUCUCAGCACCUGAAGGCAGAGGCAGGUGGAUCUCUUUGAGUUUAAGGUUAGCUUAGUCUACGGAGUGAGUUCUAGGGCAGUCAGAGCUGGUGAAGACCCUGUCUCAAAAAAUAAGUCAAGGCCGGGCGGUGGUGGCGCACGCCUUUAAUCCCAGCACUCGGGAGGCAGAGCCAGGCGGAUCUCUGUGAGUUCGAGGCCAGCCUGGACUACCAAGUGAGUUCCAGGAAAAGGCGCAAAGCUACACAGAGAAACCCUGUCUCGAAAAAACCAAAAAAAAAAAAAAAUAAGUCAAAACAAAUUUAAAAAAUCUUAACCACACUUAGUGUCAGAGUCGAUGGUCAUUAAAAAAAUGACAAGUUCAUCAAGAAGCACAAAGGAGAGGGAUGGAAAGAUGGCUCCGCUUUAACGAACACUUGCUGUUCUCCUGGAAGUCCUGGGUUUGAUUCCCAGCACCCACAUGGCAGCUCACGACCACCUGUAACUUCAGCUGUAGGGUAUCUGACACCUUUGAUCUGACCUGCGAGGGCAUCUGCAUUCAUGUGCACAUAUACAUACUUAAAACUGAUAAAAAAAAAUCUUAAAACACAGGGCAUAAGCAACACUUGCUAGAUAGUAUCAGGUUAGACCACAUUUUCUCACUGUAUGGGGCCCAACCACACGUCCUGGUGACCCACCACCCUGGCAAACAUCAGUCACUUAUUCUGGAGAUUGACUGAGGUUCUUAAGCUUCUGCAGCAGCAUUUAGCUACUGAGUUAUCUCUUCAGUCUUCACCAAACCUCUUUGAGGGUGUAAUUCUUUUGCUGCUGUUGUACUUCUAUUUCUCCAUUUUUUUAUACUGGUUUCAUAAGAUGGAUCUGCCGACAGAUGUGCGUCACACACGCUUCACACAUGCCUCACACAGAAAAACUACAGAAUCGGCCCAGCAGAUGCAAAGAGAUGUAUGUGUCACGUGAAUGACAGCUCCUGGUUCCAACACUGCCAGGAAAGCUUCCACACACAGCUGCUGGCGCUUUCCAGGCCUGAAAGAUGAGCUCACCUCGAUGGGCUUUCCUACCAGGCUAAGGGAUGCCUGUUGUCUUUCCACCGAGAGGCGUGUAACAAAACACACUCCAGCCUGUACAACUUUACAUUGUGUCGUGUUUAUUCCACGGAAAACCUGAAGACCGCACCCCAAAGGAGCCCGCAGGCAGGGUGGGCGCUGCCCCUGCCCCUGCCCACUAUGUACAUUCACAGUUCUGACGCGGACUGAGGUUACCAGCAAGAGUAAUCAGGAGAUUGAACAUCCGUCCCAGGUCUGCUCGGGAUUUCCUCAACAUGCCCAGUGGCAUUCCACAGGAACCCUUCACUUGCAGAUGGUGGGGCAGAGCCCCAGCCUCGGGACAUCUUAGUUCAUUAGUCUCCUUCAUUGGCCUUUUAGUGGCUUUUCUCUUCUGGAAAUUUGUACUCUAUAGUUAUAAAAACCAACCAGUUGGCUACGAA